Molecule: long non-coding RNA, 365 nt
Organism: Cervus elaphus (red deer)
Lineage: Eukaryota; Metazoa; Chordata; Mammalia; Artiodactyla; Cervidae
Exons: 3
Source: RefSeq, a predicted model, not a curated record
GCCAGCUGCUGGUGGUGCCAGAUCUCCAUGCGAGGACGGAGGCUGUGAUGAGAAGACAGCACUGGGGAUGGACUGGUUGGAUCUCCUUGCAGUCCAAGAGACUCUCCAGAGUCUUCUCCAACAUGCAGUUUCAGAAUCGACUAAUACCAAAUAAGUGUUUUCCAUUGGGCUGCUUCAGGUCAAGAACCAUGACAAUACUGCCUCUGCAUCCCCUCCCUCCUCCCAAAGCCCUGGAUGAACCCGAAACCUCUGACUUUGCUCAGCGGGACUUUGCAAUGGCUAAUCCACAGCAGCCCACUUUCUCCAGCUUCUUCUCCCAGUUGGGGGAUGAGCCAGCUGGGCAGAGAAGAACCUUGUCUCUCAAG